AGGCGGUGCCUCGCGCGUCGGGGCGCAGGGGUACUCGGUCUCGGUUACUGGCCCCUCGGCCUGUCCUGGUGAGGCAGGACGGGCACUGACGGACGCUGCAGGCGACAUGGCACACGGGCGAGGCGGGGCUGCCACGGCAGGAGACCCGGGACAGGCUCCGUCCCGGAAGCGCCCACGGAGCCCCGGAAGCGCCCACGGAGCCCCGGAAGCGCCCGCGGAGCCCCGGAAGCGCCCGCGGAGCUCUCCAGUUGCCGACGUCCCAGAGCAACUGGUUGAAGAGCAAAAACACAGGGAAGGCAGCUGGCAGUGAGUCACCCCAGAAACCCAGAAACAGCGGCUGUUCCUGGUUCCUGAGACUGGCGGCCUUUGAACUGGAACUUAAACCAUCCGUCUCCUGGUUCGAACCUGGACUGGAACUACGCUGUCAGCUCUCCUGGGUCUCACUUGCUGACUGCAGAUCUUGGGGCUUCUCAGCCUCCAUAAUAGCACAAGCAAAUCCCUUCGAGUAAAUUGCUUCCUCUCUCUCUAUGCA
This is a long non-coding RNA of Suricata suricatta (meerkat), 532 nucleotides long. RefSeq lists it as uncharacterized. The transcript has 2 exons. NCBI's taxonomy places the organism in Eukaryota, Metazoa, Chordata, Mammalia, Carnivora, Herpestidae. The record is from RefSeq and is a predicted model, not a curated record.